GAUGAACGCUGGCGGCGUGCCUAACACAUGCAAGUCGAACGAUGAAGCCCAGCUUGCUGGGUGGAUUAGUGGCGAACGGGUGAGUAACACGUGAGUAACCUGCCCUUAACUCUGGGAUAAGCCUGGGAAACGGGGCCUAAUACCGGAUAGGAGCGUCCACCGCAGGGUGGGAGCUGGAAAGAUUUAUCGGUUUUGGAUGGACUCGCGGCCUAUCAGCUUGUUGGUGAGGUAAUGGCUCACCAAGGCGACGACGGGUAGCCGGCCUGAGAGGGUGACCGGCCACACUGGGCCUGAGGCACGGCCCAGACUCCUACGGGAGGCAGCAGUGGGGAAUAUUGCACAAUGGGCGCAAGCCUGAUGCAGCGACGCCGCGUGAGGGAUGACGGCCUUCGGGUUGUAAACCUCUUUCAGUAGGGAAGAAGCGAAAGUGACGGUACCUGCAGAAGAAGCACCGGCUAACUACGUG
RNAcentral lists this ribosomal RNA (466 nucleotides) under uncultured bacterium. RNAcentral describes it as "partial 16S ribosomal RNA". It matches the Rfam family "Bacterial small subunit ribosomal RNA", at positions 28 to 507 of the family's 1533-position model. The record is from RNAcentral.